CAUAAAACUAUCACUAAUUGACGAGUUAUUAGAUAAU
RNAcentral lists this non-coding RNA (37 nucleotides) under Trypanosoma brucei brucei. The record is from RNAcentral. Lineage: Eukaryota; Euglenozoa; Kinetoplastea; Trypanosomatida; Trypanosomatidae.